Molecule: ribosomal RNA, 566 nt
Filed under: uncultured Cantharellales
Lineage: Eukaryota; Fungi; Basidiomycota; Agaricomycetes; Cantharellales
Description: LSU rRNA
Rfam family: Eukaryotic large subunit ribosomal RNA
Source: RNAcentral
UACAUGACCUCACGGGGGCAGGAUGACCCGCUAGACUUAAGCAUAUUAAUCAGCGGAGGAAAAGAAACUAACUAGGAUUCCCCCAGUAACUGCGAGUGAAGAGGGAAGAGCUCAAUGUGUGAAUCAGGCCGGGAUUAGCUCCUUGUUCGAGUUGUGCACUAUAGACGGCGGAUCAGCGUUUGGAAGCCUGUGGUGUAUGUCCGAUGAAACUCGGUGCCAUAGAGGGUCACAGUCCUGUACUUGCCUAAGGCUUCUGCGCAUUUGACCGACGCUUUUCGAGGCGCGUAGUUUUGUAUUGCUGCCCUAAUUGGGAGGUAGAGCCCUUCUAAAGCUAAAUAUGAUGGCAUGACCGAUAGCACACCAAGUAUCCGCGAGGGAAAGGUGAAAAGCACACCACGCAGAAUGGGUUGAAACAGCAGUGAAAGCGUUAUCUGGGAUAAGGGUUGGGGAUUGCUUGUGCCGAUUGCGCGUGCUUCANUGCUGCGCUGCCGGACCGCACGCAUCGCAUGCGGAACGGGGAGAACCGGUUCCUUGGGAAUUCGGCCUGGAUCCGUCCCAGUGUUGUA